CCUGGUGGCUCAGAGGUUAAAGCGUCUGCCUGGAAUGCAGGAGACCCAGGUUCAAUCCCUGGGUCAGGA
This 69-nucleotide transfer RNA is filed under the name Bos taurus (domestic cattle). It matches the Rfam family "tRNA". Rfam says of the family: Transfer RNA (tRNA) molecules are approximately 80 nucleotides in length. The record is from Rfam by way of RNAcentral. Lineage: Eukaryota; Metazoa; Chordata; Mammalia; Artiodactyla; Bovidae. RNAcentral also lists the same sequence under 5 other names.